RNAcentral lists this ribosomal RNA (256 nucleotides) under uncultured bacterium. RNAcentral's name for it is "partial 16S ribosomal RNA". It matches the Rfam family "Bacterial small subunit ribosomal RNA", at positions 524 to 776 of the family's 1533-position model. The record is from RNAcentral.
UACGUAGGGUGCAAGCGUUUAUCCGGAAUUAUUGGGCGUAAAGAGCUCGUAGGCGGUUUGUCGCGUCUGCUGUGAAAACUGGAGGCUCAACCUCCAGCCUGCAGUGGGUACGGGCAGACUAGAGUGCGGUAGGGGAGAUUGGAAUUCCUGGUGUAGCGGUGGAAUGCGCAGAUAUCAGGAGGAACACCGAUGGCGAAGGCAGAUCUCUGGGCCGUAACUGACGCUGAGGAGCGAAAAGCAUGGGGGAGCGAACAGG